Molecule: ribosomal RNA, 261 nt
Filed under: uncultured bacterium
Lineage: Bacteria
Description: partial 16S ribosomal RNA
Rfam family: Bacterial small subunit ribosomal RNA
Source: RNAcentral
GUCCACGCCGUAAACGAUGGAUGCUCGGUGUUUGGCGGGGAAACCUGCUGGGCACCUCAGCUGACGCGCAAGCAUCCCGCCUGGGAACUACGAGCGCAAGCUUAAAACUCAAAGGAAUUGACGGGGGCCCGCACAAGCAGCGGAGCGUGUGGUUUAAUUCGACGCAACCCGCAGCACCUUACCCAGACUUGACAUGGCACUGCAAGCCCGUGAAAGCGGGUCGCCUUCGAGGGUGUGCCGCAGAUGCUGCAUGGCUGUCGU